RNAcentral lists this ribosomal RNA (435 nucleotides) under uncultured bacterium. RNAcentral describes it as "partial 16S ribosomal RNA". It matches the Rfam family "Bacterial small subunit ribosomal RNA", at positions 29 to 507 of the family's 1533-position model. The record is from RNAcentral.
AGCGAACGCUGGCGGCAGGCUUAACACAUGCAAGUCGAGCGGGCACUUUCGGGUGUCAGCGGCGGACGGGUGAGUAACGCGUGGGAACGUGCCCUCUGGUUCGGAAUAACUCAGGGAAACUUGAGCUAAUACCGGAUACGCCCUUUUGGGGAAAGGCUUGCUGCCGGAGGAUCGGCCCGCGUCUGAUUAGCUAGUUGGUGAGGUAACGGCUCACCAAGGCGACGAUCAGUAGCUGGUCUGAGAGGAUGAUCAGCCACACUGGGACUGAGACACGGCCCAGACUCCUACGGGAGGCAGCAGUGGGGAAUAUUAGACAAUGGGCGCAAGCCUGAUCCAGCCAUGCCGCGUAAGUGAUGAAGGCCUUAGGGUUGUAAAGCUCUUUUAUCCGGGACGAUAAUGACGGUACCGGAGGAAUAAGCCCCGGCUAACUUCGUG